CGCCACGAUCCGCUUCGAAGGACACACACGGACGGGGCGCCUCGGCGCGCCCGUCGACACAAUGAUUUCUUUUGGGGAAAGUCUCCGGACACUACGGCAGAGAGUGCCAGCCCUAAGGGUCAGCCCCUGCACGCACCGAACCGCUGGCAAAGACGUCU
Molecule: RNase MRP RNA, 158 nt
Filed under: Hemiselmis rufescens
Lineage: Eukaryota; Cryptophyceae; Cryptomonadales; Hemiselmidaceae
Description: partial RNase MRP
Rfam family: RNase MRP
About the family: RNase MRP is an enzymatically active ribonucleoprotein with two distinct roles in eukaryotes. In mitochondria it plays a direct role in the initiation of mitochondrial DNA replication.
Source: RNAcentral